Chenopodium quinoa (quinoa) is the source of this 816-nucleotide long non-coding RNA. RefSeq lists it as uncharacterized. The record is from RefSeq and is a predicted model, not a curated record. The transcript has 3 exons. Lineage: Eukaryota; Viridiplantae; Streptophyta; Magnoliopsida; Caryophyllales; Amaranthaceae.
AAUUUAUAACCUUUUAAAAAGUCACAACAUGGCAAUUAGAAAACCUUAUGAAUAGUGCUCUAACCAAUUUACCCCUUAAAAAUGUGUAUCUACUUUUUAUCCUUAUUUUAAUUAUUGGAUUAAACAAAAAAAAAAAAUAUUGGAUUAUCUCCUUGAGGCGAUCUGACUUUUUAACCCUUUUGCUUUUCCCAGUUCUUCUUCCUGCCAGGCCAGAAGCCAGCUGCCACAUAUCUUUAUCUCCUCUCAAGAAUCACCCUCCUCUCUCAUCUCUCUUCAUCUCCACCAACGUCGCAUCGAAAGGCAUGCCAAGAUCCUUAUCUCUAACACCUUGUAAUCGGAAGGCAUGCAAGCAAAUGCCAAGGGCACAAACUGAAGAAAAUCAGGAAGAAGGUAAAGAGUAGCUCCUCUGAUAAUAUUUCAUUUCUUGAAUCGUGCAAUUUACUGGAAUUUUGAGGAUUUAUGUCGACAUGGGAGACAACGAUGCGUUCUUGUGCAACCUGAAUUCCGCCGUUAUGGGUCGCACCAACCACUAAAGUGAAUCGCGCAUUGCUCUUCAGCUUAAGAUGAUAUCAAUUGCACCUUAUUGAGUUCUGAGAUGGGAGUGCUGAGAUAAUGAGAUGGCUAAAAGAUAAUUCAAAUACGAGAACCCUUGUGGUUUGUUAUAGUUUCUUUUUUUUGUGCCCUUUCAAACUUUGAAUUUUUAUUGUAAUUUGAAUGUUUAAUUAUCAAAUUUUGUGGUAUAUGCAUUAGGGUUUGUUUCUAAUUAUGAAUCUUGGAAGUAAAUGGUUCUAAUUGAUGAUUUGAAUUUCUGGUAAA